Non-coding RNA from Triticum urartu, 258 nucleotides. Lineage: Eukaryota; Viridiplantae; Streptophyta; Magnoliopsida; Poales; Poaceae. The record is from RefSeq and is a predicted model, not a curated record.
GCUUCCAGUCAAUUGGAUCUGAUCUUAUACCCGCACACGAGAGCUACCGGAGCAGCAACAGAUUAACAAGGACCCAAGCUGGACUCCCAAGUUCUUCGGCUCAAGGCGCUAAGGUGUUGGAGACGUGCCUGUACUUGUUGAGCGUUUUAUCUGUAGAGUGCUAUAUUGUGAUUGGUGUAAUAUUGUAUGGUUAUAUUGUGAUUGGUGGAAUGUAAUAGACUUGAUUGGUAUAUUGGUGAUUUGGCUGUUAUUUGAAUA